AUUUAAAUAGUUUAAAUAAAAAUAUUGAUUUGUGGGGUCAAAGUUAUAAGUUUAUUUUAAAUU
This 63-nucleotide transfer RNA is filed under the name Zele chlorophthalmus. RNAcentral's name for it is "tRNA-His". The record is from RNAcentral. Lineage: Eukaryota; Metazoa; Arthropoda; Insecta; Hymenoptera; Braconidae.